This 454-nucleotide ribosomal RNA is filed under the name uncultured bacterium. RNAcentral describes it as "partial 16S ribosomal RNA". It matches the Rfam family "Bacterial small subunit ribosomal RNA", at positions 28 to 507 of the family's 1533-position model. The record is from RNAcentral.
GAUGAACGCUGACAGAAUGCUUAACACAUGCAAGUCAACUUGAACUUCGGUUUGGGUGGCGGACGGGUGAGUCACGCGUAAAGAACUUGCCUCACAGCUAGGGACAACAUUUGGAAACGAAUGCUAAUACCUGAUAUUAUGAUUUUAGGGCAUCCUAGAAUUAUGAAAGCUAUAUGCGCUGUGAGAGAGCUUUGCGUCCCAUUAGCUAGUUGGAGAGGUAACGGCUCACCAAGGCGAUGAUGGGUAGCCGGCCUGAGAGGGUGAACGGCCACAAGGGGACUGAGACACGGCCCUUACUCCUACGGGAGGCAGCAGUGGGGAAUAUUGGACAAUGGACCAAGAGUCUGAUCCAGCAAUUCUGUGUGCACGAUGAAGUUUUUCGGAAUGUAAAGUGCUUUCAGUUGGGAAGAAAAAAAUGACGGUACCAACAGAAGAAGUGACGGCUAAAUACGUG